This 757-nucleotide long non-coding RNA is filed under the name Mytilus galloprovincialis (Mediterranean mussel). The record is from RNAcentral. Lineage: Eukaryota; Metazoa; Mollusca; Bivalvia; Mytilida; Mytilidae.
GUCGUGUUUGACUGAGCCCCAUUAUAGUUUUAGGAAAUAUUUUUUUUUAGUUACAAUAUGUCAAAUGUAUAAAUAUUACUUUAAACCUUUAAUUGUGUAUCAGCUGAUGGUGUAAUGGUUAGGCUGUUCGGCUUGAAACUUUGUGUGUCUGUUCUAACCUCGCCAUAUGAAUGAUAUUUUGGCAUGUUUAAUCCAUGCUUAAGUAUUCAAUUUAUGUGGAAUAAGUUGAAAUUAAUCUAUUUUAAGUCGUAAACAAUUUCUUUUUUACAUUAAAUUGUGUCGUGUUUGACUAAGGUCCAUUCAAAUUAAGCUUAUGAUUAUUCUUUUUUUAUUUCAAUAUGUCUAAUGUAUAAAUAUUAUUUUUAACACCAUUUUGUUCAUGAGUUCAUGUCGUUAUGGCUAGGCUGUUAACUCCUACACUACAUACACGGUAUGUGGGAGUGUUCCAAUCUCAGCAUUCUCUUUUUUUUUUUGCUUCUUUAAUCUUCAGUUUAUGUAAAAUAAGUUGAAAUUAAUCUAUCUCAAUCCAUAAACUAUUUCUAUUUAACAUAUAAUUGUGUCGUGUUUUACUGAGCCCCAUUCUAUUAAGUUUUAGGAAAAAUUUUCUUUAUUUCAGAAUGUCAAAGCAUAUAUCAUAGAAGAGGUAAUUUCAUUUCCCAUCAGGGAUAGAUUCUCCUCUGACGGGAAAUCCCUUAAAUAUACAGUGUGGGCAAUUGUGGACAACAAAAUAUGUCAGAUUUUCAGAUUCAGAGAAAAA